UGUCUGUCUGUGACUGUCAUCAGGAGUGGUUUGGUUGGAUUUGAAGAAACGAGUACUUCAUACUUAAAGGCAUACAUAUUUUCUCUAAUUGCCAAAGGCAAGGGGGAGGUCCAGGGCAGAAUAAAAAAGGUUAUUGUGACAGAUGAAAUAUAAUUCACAAUGAGCAUUCUUUUCAUCUAGGCUGAAGUACCACAGGAUUACUUACAAGUUGAAUUUUGUGGCAGAACGUAUAAACUCAUAUUAAAAGAAGCUAGAAAGAAAAGCAGCAAGCCUGUUACUCUCUGGCCCCGGAAGUGUUUAUUUUGAAUAUGUCUGUCUUGGGAUUGUGUUCUGUUUCUCCUAACAUAAAGAUACACUGGCGAGAAGAGGGACUAGGCAGCAAGGGUGGAAAGGAAGAAACCUAAAAGCAAUCAAAGCUGCUUCUUCCCUCUACCAAUGAAGAAAGAGGAGUUAGAUGGAUUUUUAUUCUCUUUGGGAUGCACAUGCAACAAUCAUAUUUUUCAGCACACGUUUAUUUUUGGCUGCAAAAGUUCUGUAUUCAAGCCCAUCGUAUGUCUCCUGAGAAGAAAGAAAAACUUCCCCAAAGUUCAUGACUGAAACCAUCUUCACAUCCUAACCAUAUUGCUCUGGAAGGCCAGGGUUUCCAAAGAAAGGCCAAAGACCAACAGCUGUAUUUCCUUGGUUUCUUCAUUUUUGUUUAAUGUUUGAUAAAGUUAGGGUAGAAUGCUAUUUACCUUUGAAAGUUCAACUUAUCCAUGAACAUUCGGUUCAUAUAUCUAAGAAUAAAACUGAAGGGGUUUUCAACCCCAUAAGAAAAACAAUACCAACUAACCAGACUCCCAGUGUCUAAACCACCAACCAAGGAGCACACAUGGAGGGACCCAUGGUUCCAGCCACAGAUGUAGCAAAUGAUGGCUUGCUGGGUAUCAAUGGGAGGAGAGGCCCUUGGUCCCAUGAAGGCUCGAUGCCCCAAUAUAGGGAAAUGUCACGGUGGGGAGGCAGGAGUGAGUGGGUGGGUAGGGACACACCCUCAUAGAAGCAGGGGGAGGGGGGGGUGGGUUGAGGGUUGGGGGGGGGGCAGAAAUCCAGAAAGUGGAUAACAUUUGAAAUGUAAAUAAAUAAAACUCCCAAUUAAAAAAACAAAAACAAAAAACUAUGUUCUCUCUGUUGAAGAGGCUUUUAAAGAAAUAUAAUAAAAUAUUACUUUCUAUUAAAAUGUGUUAGAUUUAAUUAAUUUUCAAAAAGUAACUAUUUGAGAACUAUAUAGUAAAUAGUAAAACGUUAUGAAUAAAAAUUCACAUCAUAAAAAUAAAGCAUCUUGGGUGUUCUAGGUUUCUGGGCUAAUACCCACUUAUCAGUGAGUGCAUAUUAAGUGACUUCUUUUGAAAUUGGGUUACCUCACUCAUGAUGAUAUCCUCUGGAUACAUCCAUUUGCUUAAGAAUUUCAUAAAUUCAUUGUUUUUAAUAACUGAGUAGUGCUCCAUUGUGUAAAUGUACCACAUUUUCUGUAUCCAUUCCUCUGUUAAGGAACAUCUGGGUUAAUUUGUAAAACACAAGAAAAUCAAGAAGAUGGAAGACCAACAUGUAGAUACUUCAUUCCUCCAUAGAAUAGGGAACAAAAUACCCAUGGAAGGAGUUACAAAGACAAAGUUUGGAGCUAAGACAAAAGGAUGGACCAUCCAGAGACUGCCCCACCCAGAGGUCCACCCCAUAAUCAGCCACCAAACACAGACACUAUUGCAUAUACCAGUAAGAUUUUGCUGAAAUGGCCCUGAUAUAGCUGUCUCUUGUGAGGCUAUUCCAGUGCCUGGCAAAUACAAAAGUGGAUGCUCACAGUCAGCUAUUGGAUGGAACACAGGGCCCCCAAUGGAGGAGCUAGAGAAAGUACCCAAGGAGCUAAAGGGGUCUGCAACCCUAUAGGUGAGCAACAAUAUGAACUAACCAGUACCCCCAGAGCUCCUGUCUCUAGCUGCGUAUGUAGCAGAAGAUGGCCUAGUUGGCCAUCAUUGGGAAGAGAGGCCCCUUGAUCUUACAAAUUUUAUAUGUCCCAACAUAGGGGAACACCAGGGCCAAGAAGUAGGAGUGAGUGGGUAGGAAAGCAGGGUGGGGGGAGGGUGUAGGAGACUUUUGGGAUAGCAUUUGAAAUGUAAAUGAAGAAAAUAUCUAAUAAAAAAUUUAAAAAAUAAAGCAUCUAAACUACAUGUGUGUAUGAUGUGUGUUAUGUUGGCAAUGGUACUCAGCUUUUAUUGGUUUCAUCUCUAAAAGAAACCCUAUCUAUAAUCAAGACUGUAUCCUAUUUAAAAAAUAAUGUGUUAAUGUGACCUUAGAAGAAGAAAACAAAUCUCUUUUAAUUAAUACUUCUGUAAAGUACAUUUUGUAGUCAAACUAUUGCAUGAACCCCUACUUGGAUUAUACUUUUCAAUUUCCAUUUAUAAUUUAGAAAUAAAAAGCAGAGCUACAAAAUUUCUAAUCUCACGAUCCCAAGCUUACAAGAGCUUGAGUUUCGACUCACUGACUUAAAAUGGUAUAAAAGUGAUAUGUGCUCAGUACAAGCAGUUUAACUCUAGUGGUGAAUGAUACUAUCUUGAGCCAAGGGUACGCAAGAUCUUGCUAUGUUCAGGUCAGCCAUGUGACCAUGACGGCCGACAACCUCUAUAUUCUGCAAGCCCUGCUCAUCCAUAUUUAGUUAAAAUCAAAGAUGAAAAAUAUGAAACAUGAGAGCAUUUCUAAAGGGAGUUAUUUAUUUCCCAGACUCAUACCAGCAACAGAAAAGAAACCAGGAUCGACCUCAGCAUUUUAUCACUUGACUAGCAUGUAUAAGGCCUUGAGUUUGAACUGUGACAUUUUGUUACAAAAAGUGGUUAUAUAUCAUUUGAAAAAUUAAUAUGAGAAAUUAAACUGUCAGCUCACUCGGCAUAGAAACCACUUAGUAGAGGCCUGCUUUCAACAAGGCCUUUCUGAAGUGAUUCAUAAAAUGAAAUAUAUUGGCAAUGUUUAUGUAAGGAGUUCUUUUGUUUUAAAUCUACCCAUUCAAAUACCAUCAUUUUUAUGACCCUAUGAUAUCCUUGGUUCUAGGAAAAUUUAUUCACUUAAAAAUACUUGAUAGAAAUAUAUUAGCAAUGCUCUAGCAGGUAGAAAUAUAGUCAUUAAAAAAAUCAUUAGAAGGUUGUCUGCUGUGGUGGAUGGUUACAAGAGUGAGAAAGAAGAAACAGUAUUCCAGAUAAUGUUCUCAGAUGGCAGAAUGGGAACAAAGUUUGAAAACCUAGAAGUGUCCAGCCAUGUAAACAGCAUACAGUUUUAAACCAGAAGGAAGAGCCUGUGGCAGAGUCCCUGGGUAGAUAGGAGCUCUGUGUAUUGAGAGCAAGAAGAGACCAGCAUAAUUAGGCAAACUGAAGGGUGGGGAGGUUAGUGGGAAUUACCUUCAUGCCACUCAAGUAUCUACAGUUACAAAGAAAAGUUUGACCUUAUCUUCAGGGGGAUAGAUAUCUACGAAGUCACAGUCUGUUCUGAAGCCUGCGAUGAUGAAUCUGUGUGUAACCCAUGUAGACUAUCCACUGUAACUAGUGUGUUACACAAUCCAACACUAUCCAAAGGAAUCAGAGUUUGAACUUCACUUACAUAAAAUCUGAAGAUCUGGGAUAUGUGUUUAUGAUUUCUGCUUUUUGAGUCUGAAGAUUUUGGAUGCUGCCUAUAUAAUAUAGACAAGAUAAGAACCACCUGUAGACGAAUUAGCUACUCUUAGCUUCUUACCAAAAGAACGCUUUGUACAAUUCCAACAGACUCCUUGAAUUGCCAGAGCUUCUUGGUGUGAAAGAAUAUAUGUUGGGCAUGCCUAAUCUAUAAGACUUAAAUAUAAAUAUUUCCAAAUUGGAAGCUACAUAUCGAGGAGUACAGAUAGAUUUAUUGGGUUUUCAGAAAAUGAUUAUAUGAAAUUGAGAGUAAAAUACUGGAGGAACAACUGAGGUAUUCAAAGUGAGAUGUGCAUUUGAUCAAAAUGCAUUAUAUUAAAAUCUGAAAUUUUCAAACAACAAAAGGUAUUUACAGAAGAAAAUCUCUCUCCAUAUAUGUGAAUAUAUAUAGUUGUUGUUAUGGCAGGUUUUAUUGAGUCUGCUUAUGAUAGCAAAUAGUAUUUUAUAAAAAUACUACAUCUGGUACUACCUCUGACAAGAGGAGAAAGAAAAAUUUGAUAAUUCAUAAAAGAUUAUAGUGAGAAUUCAUCAGUUCCUGAACUUUACUAUACUAUAUAGAAAACUUUUUGAUAGUGAAAUAUUUGGUAUGCUUCCUUAAAUCCAAUGUUGUUGAAAGGAAUACAACUGUCAUCUAAAUGUAUCCUCACAAGUACACUGAAAAAUUCCAUGAAUUAAACAUGUGUACUUGCCUAAGAAGUAAUAGAACGUAGCAUUAGGUUAUCAAAUCAACUUUUGUUCCAAUGUAAGAGUUUUCCCUUUUGUCUACUUCUUAAAUUGUUUUGUCAUGCAUGUGAGUAUAAACUUUUUAAAGUUGUGCUUCUUACUCCAUUUCCCAAGGGUGGAUAUUCAAGGCUCUAUUAAAAGUCUUUAAUCAGGAACGGAAGGGUGGGUGUUCUCAUUCUAUUUUUCUUGAUGGAAUCAAGAAAAUUUGUCAUGGUUAGGGCCACUAUUAUUAGUAGUAAUAGUAGUGGUGUCAGCAGAUUUCUAUUAGCCAACCAUUAUGUUUAUGUAGUCAUCACUUUUAAUCCUCGCCACAAAUAAGCAUUAAAGUUCAUCUUCAUAUUUAUACAAAAAAAGAAACUCACAAUAUUAACUUCACUACUGGUGAUUUAUGACCAUACUCAUAGAUUAGAACAUCUUUCAACCCUAAUCAGAGAAGCCUUUUGCAGUGGAUGACAAAAAAACAACGCCAGAGAAUAAGAGCCCAAAGAAUACAGAGCCCUAAAUCUAUAGCACAACUUCAUCCCAAAUCCUCAGGGAUCAAAUGGGGCAAGAGGAGGAGGAGGAGGAAAGAUUAAAAGAAGCAGAAGCUCUGAAUGUUUAUAAUAGUUAUGUUUCUGGACACAACCUCGAACUUCGUUACUCUGAUGCCAAUCCUGAAGUGCUGAAGAGGAUGCCCUAUGUUUCAUUUCUUUAGCCCCCAAAAUGACCUCAGUUCUUCGUUCUAUUUCUAUAACCGUUCUGAACAUCAGGGCGGCACAUUACUCAAGGAAGAAGGGGGUGUCUUCUGUGUUCUCGCAACACAUUGCAUAAGUCUUAGCAUACUGAUUAGGAAAGCCUUUGACUCAGUUUUGAGUAUUGAAAAAGGGAGAAAGCAGCCUUCCAAAUCCACUAUGACUAUAAAAGAGUAUAACUGUUUGAAUAGUUUGGCGACUUUUUCCAUAUACCACUAGAAUGGUAUAUGGUUAUCUCUCUCUAAAAAAGAAAAAAGUAGGACUGGUAAUUAAAACCAACUUCACUUUGCGUUUGGAAUUCUGCAAAGUGUUAUGUGAAUAAGGUUCGAAUUUGGAAGGCACUCUGAAGUAAGGGAUUCAUGUGUUAGUGGCUUAAACCUCACUGUGAUAAAAGCAGCUAAAGGAAUUGUGGUGGCAUUGAGAGUUUCUUGUGGGAUCCUCCCUGAAUGCAGGCUUCAUAUCUGACCACCUCUUCUUUUCUCUUAUGUUCCCACCCUGAAAUCAUUGGCAGUAAUGGCCCCAAUAGACAUCUAAACACUGGAACUAUCCAAUCUUGAACACUGGGACUCUAAAACUUUAAGCUGAAACUUUACUCUAUCUCAGGAUAUUGUCAUAAGACCAGAAACCAGACUAAUAUAGUAGUUAAAGCAGGACUUGAGUAAAUCCAAGCAAACACGUGGACAAACGGACUCAUCAUUGCUGGGACGUGGUUUGCCUGUGUCCAUGAGCCGUAAUCCUGAUCUCAGGUGUGAUGAUGUUGUAGAGGCUUUAGUAGAGGAAGCAUAGUAGAGGGAGGGCAUGGUGGGAACACUCUCUGAAGAGAUCAGUAUAGUGGAAGGACGUCAUGUCUUAAUUACUUUCUCACUGACAUGAUAAAAUACCCAAGAGAAGCAGCAUAAGAGGUAAGUCAUCUGGAUCACUUUUUGGCAUUUUCUGUCCAUCCUGUUGUGGAAGACAUUCUGGUGGGGACUUAAGAUAUGACUUGUUUUGUCUCAACAGACAGGAAGCAGAGAUCUCAAAGAAAAUGCAAGGUGUGUUGCAACAUCCAAGGUGAACCCUGACAAUCAUUUCUUCUCCCCAGACUCACUUCCUAGGGUUCCAUCACCUCCCCAAAGGGAACACAGCUGAGGAGAAACAUGCCCAGACACAUGGGCUACAGAGAAUAUUUCACAUUCGAAUCCUGACAGGUCAUUUAGUUCUCAAAGGUAAGAAUUGCUUCAAAAACACUACACUGCACUGCUGAGUCCCAUCUGCUUCCUUUCCCUCCAUGUGAUUCUUCUGUCUGCUUCUCCAACAGGCUCAAACCAGGAUGCCAGGUACCAAUAAAGGCAGACACCCCAUCCCCCAUUACAAGCAUCACAAAUGGGCCAAUCUGAUCUUAAGCUUUCAUCCACACAAAUUAUCAACACAAUAUGCCUAUUUUUAUUAAUUUUUUUACCCUCAAUUAUUUUGUUAUAGCCACAGACAAUAAACAAAUACAGGCCUGAAAUAUCUAUCUAUAAAUACCAGUGACAAGCCUUUUUUUUUCCUUACUUUAACUGUCCUGUUCUUUAGAAAUCUUAUUUUUAUUUAACUAUAUUUAGCAACUUGUACUGAACUAUAUCAAGCAAACCUAUGAUUGGUUUUUCUUAGAAACAGUGAUAAUCUAUAUACUAAAUUUUUAAAAAAAAAUAUUCACAUGAGGUUUAUUUAAAGGAAUUGUUUAGGUCACAAUUAUCUAUACGCACUCAUUAAAAUCAAUAUAUAGUAUUUAUUUUGAUUUUGUAAGUUGUAAGGGUCGAAUACUAGUAUGGGUAUCAAGACUACACACAAAAUAACAAAAUUCUGUAUUUUUAAUUAUCUUGUUAGUCAUGAGAGAAAAGGGUUGCCACAAAAAUCAGUUGAUCUGCUUCCUAUAAUUGAAUAAUUAAAUUUAUGCAUUUUGAAACCCCAAACUACAGUCUGUCAGUCUCUGGAAGUUCAAUCUUCAUUGACAGAUUUUUACUAAGGGUUAAAUAUGCACAUAUUAUUCUAUAAAUAAAACUUUAGGAGUAACUUUUAGGGGAAUUCUUCACGUUUUUCUUAUAAAGAUUGAUAAAUUAGCUUCUGUCAAUGUUGAUCUGAAUAUUCUUUUGCUAACAGCAGUGGGUCCCAAAUGCAUUAUUGUUCUUUGUAUACAUUCCUUUCACAAGUGACCGCACAUGCUUGGUAACACAGGACCAAAUUACUCAGUGUCAAAGUCAUAAAGGAUUCAGGAUAAAGUUAAGAGUGCUUGAUGCCUCCCAUACGCAAUGGUAAUAGGACCAUCCUGGAGCAGGCAUUUCUGUAUGCUUAGUUGGAUAAUUCUAACAAUACUUGCGUUGAUCGACUUUUAGAUAAGCAACUGAAGGUUAAACUAAAGUUGGUGUGUAUGUUAUCUAAAGUCAAAGGCUGAGAAUGUGGAAAAAUAGAAUGUUAACUCAUUAUUCUAAUAUUACAACCCCAGCUUCUACUCUUAUAGUAGACUGUUUUAAGUUUGGAUUAAUUACUAGUAACCAGAACUGUAAUUGGAAAAAUCAGGAAUGCUCAGUUUGGUACUGCUUUGAGAGGAACCAAUAUGAGUUCCCUUAGCAUUACUUACUUGGAUGAUAUCUGUUUCGAGUAAUUCUUUUAAUGUAUUUUAAAAGUCCACUUUGCCUACGAGUUGCUAAUUUUACAUCUUCCUAUGUUCAUGGUCCCUGUCAAUCUCACUAUUUUGACAGCAGUUAAGAGAGAUGAUCUACUGAUAGGUGGGUAAGGAGGAACAUGGUACCAACAGGAAUCACCACAAUACACAUGGUCAGAACUUUAGCAUUUUACUCAACGUAGCAUAUUUUGUAAAAUAAGAACGAUAAACUGGUUUAUUUAUACAUUAUAAAAAUAGACUAUUAUUUUCAUGUCCCUUGAAAAAUCUAUUUGCUGAAAAGCACAAUGUUGAUUCACAAGGCAAUGGAAAAAAUAUAAGUGAAUUUCUUCAUUUUCACCAGCUAUAAAAUGGCAUGAGAUUAAGUCAACUUUUUUUUUAAUUUAACAUGGUUCACUUUUAAUUUUCUUGGUUCUUAGGGAAAAAAAAUAAGAGCUAAACCUAUCUGUAUUCUACUCAGCCAUACAUCAACAAAAAUACUCUGUGUGUAUGAGAAGAUAAAUACGGCAUGUUUGACAUUUGGAACAUCCCUGCAGAGGCAUGGAUUUGUAAUUCAGAUCGCAUAGCAGUUUUGAUUUCUCCCUCAUGUCCAUGCCCUUUCUCUAUCCAUCGCCUUCCCCCCCUCCCCCAAAUAAAACACAAAGACUCUAUCUGCAGUGGACCGAGGGCAACCCAGGAAUCUGUGCAGACUAGACUAUCCAUCACAUUUCUUUCUUAAUUGAAUGACACCAGAAUGAGAUCGAUAAAAUGUAACAAGAGACAGCUUUGCAUUUCCACACUCACUUAUCCCAACCCCCCCCCACCCCAUUACUCUCAGCCACCACCGUGACCAGAAAGCCCAAGUAAAGAACAUGAAUCCUGCUGCCAGACAAGCUCUUAAGAUAUGAAGGAACUUGUCAGGGAAACAACGAAAGUUACAAAUAUUAGACAGUAGAUGAGGGGUCAAAAGGUUAUUAACCAGUAUAGAAUAGUCUUCCUUAAAAAGCAGUUACGUAGUUGCAUCCCCCCUCCUAUGUAAGAUCCUCCUCUGAAAUGGUUCAAUCCAGUCAUCCCAGAAGCUCUCUCUAUGCUUCCAGGAUUUCUUGGGGCUACAGCAGUGAGUGUGUUUCCAACAGAGUGUGGGUGAUGCUUCAACUCAAACCCAAUAGGCUUAAAAUGUUAUAACACAGGGCAGCUGUGCUACACUGACGAUUGCCCAAGGUUCCUGAGAUCCUCAAUGCAUUAUUGAUAACCCCACCACUCUGCCGAAGCACAGGCUGACAUCGUUCGCUCUCAACCUUGUUCUGAAGAGCCCUGGCUUGGCUGGGAAUCGAUCAGUGUAAAACGUUAACCAAAGAACAAAACUGCCCAUGUAAAAGUUUACAUUAAGAAUCUCCUGUGCUCACUGACUGGCUGUGUUAACCAAAAUCACAUGGCCAGCUUUGCUAUUCAUAUGUCGUUGGCAGCUUACAUUGUGCUCUAGCCCCAGGCUAUAGGGUGUAAUAAUUCAUUUAACACUCUACAUCUUGAGCUGAUUAUAAGUUAUUUGUGGGGAAAAAAUUUGCUUUCUGAAAGAAAAAUAAACAUGGAUGUAGUUUUAAAAACCAUUUUCUUCUUUCUAUUACAUUUUUCUCUGCAUUACUUUGAAAUUAAAGUUGAUCUAGAUAAUUUUCCUGUAUUCAUAUAGUGCUUAUCAUUAACAUGUAGCCAUUUCUGGCAUUCCUACAGAGAUGAUAUACUUAAUUUUAUAUUUCAUACAUUAACUAACAAACUAAAACUGUGAAUGGGAAUGUCUAAUUUUGCUCAUAAAUCUCAAAACUGGUGUUUUGAAUAUGAAAAUUAUAUAUUUCCUGUCUCACUACAAGCAGUUUGUAGUAUGAAUUCUAAGGUAGAUUCUGUUACAGAGCACACUCUGUGCUUAUGAUUUGAAUUGAAAAUAUUAUGUACUGUUUGCUUGCUAUAACAAGGGAAUACUAUUUCCUUAGAUGAUGGGCAAUAUGCAAUGCCAUCAUUAUUCCUGAGUGACUUUUGUACUCUGGAGCAAAUAAGCUUACAAUUCUAUUACUAUUCAUUGAUAAAAAUAAGUAAUAACACAAAUCAGGUAGCGAACAUAGAAUUUGGCCUCAUCUGCAGGCAUUGGCCACCUAAAGUAGGUAUAAAUGCCUGCUCAGCCAAAGGAGACACAUGGCAUGUUUUGAUGAAUGUCUUUCAUCUGUCAUUUACUUGCUGAGCCCUCAAUUUGCUAUAGCAUAAACUUGCUCAAAUUGUAAACUGUAAUAUUGCCCGAGAAAGAAAUAAGUAAAGUCCUAGAUAAUAUGCAUUUUAAAAGGUACAUUUCUUAAUAAAAGGAACUGUGUUUUUUCUUCACCAAAGAAAAGUCACGUGCAUCUUGUAAGACACAAAUUCUCUCAUGCUUUGCAGAAUAUAUGAACACUGAAGUACCUCAAGAUUGCCAUGCUCCUCUUUUUUAAUAGAGCCAUUGCCCCCUUUUUAUUUUUUGUGGGCUGCAGGAGCUUAAGCCCUGGAAAAAGAGACUAGCUUCACAGAAUGUGGAACUCAUUUGUGAAGCAUAAAGGAAACCUAAACUGGAGAAAAACACUUGAGUACUACCUCUGAUCUGGCAUGCUUUGCUGACCAUCUCUUGUUUUCAUUACAAAUAAUCUAUUUAGCAGAAUAAGGGUGAGACUGUCUGUAGUCGUGAGAACGACACCAGAGUCUGCUGGCCCUAGUAUUGGAAGGACUCAUCUGAACCUGUGCCCAGCUCCCACCUGGAAAGAUCUAUGCUCCUGAACACAGUGAUGGACAGGCCUGGGAACUCACAUCACCUCCGUGUGUGCAUUGAUUUCACUCAGUAUAAAUUCACUCAGAGCUUCAGUAUCGAGAUGUCUCACACAGUCAAACUCAGCUUUAAAAUAUUUUCUGGCUCUGUGCAGCUUAGAAAGGACACCUUUGGCAAAGCAACCACCCAGAGAUCCAAUAAAGACAAUGUAAGGCCGUGACUCCUGAAGCUUAACUUUAGAAAAUGCCCCCUUCGUGAAAUACCCAGCUUCACCAAGUGCAGAGAAACAGAACUUAAAACACAGCAAAACAACUUGAUAGAUGGUUGCUGAAGGGACUUCGCCUGGAUUGUUAAAACUGAAGGUUCACAAAUAAACAUUUCAAAUGUUUUUGGCUGCAUGCAGAUAACACCCUCUCUGGGGAGAAGGCUAGAAACUGUUGGGUUCCUUUGUGCAGAGUCCUGGAAUGUGCCUGCUUUUCAUUUCUUCCUUUGUGUCUGCACACUGGCCUCACAGGCAGUGUCUUAAGCCAUCCAGGGUCAGGGCAAACAGAGGAGCGCAUUCAUGGACAGAUCAAGUUUAUGUGAGAAUCUGCUCCUCCUAGCUGCCCUCCAUCUCCAUAUGAAUCGUUAAUAAAAUCGCAGCCUGAAAGCUCAUCGCGCCAACAGUGAGGAAGUCAUGCAGAGAAUCCUCUGGUUCAGAGGGAGAAAAAAAAAAAAGAUUUCUUUAUCUUUUUCAUCCUUCGCCGGCCUUCGUGGGAAUUCUGCCAUCUAACUCCUUCUGCGCUAAAUCUCUCCCCCUCAUCCCAACACCACGGUCUUCCCCUAGCAACUUUCUAACUGGCACCUGAUCACGUGGGAAAGCGGGGGAUGGGAGUGGACACAAAGACAAAAGAAACAUUCUGAUAUCCUCAGCAAAUCUUCCAGAGCGCCAAGUCAGCCUCUGCUGCACUACAUUGCUGCAAAAACCUUCAGGCAGUAUCAAUGUUUCAAUUUUCCCAGGUCGUGUCAAACAGCUGGGAAGACUUUCCCAUAGUUUUAUGACACCACACGAGCUACAGAGGCACAGAUAUCUCAAAAGGGCACACGAAGAACAGCGUCUUUCCCUAAUUAACUUGCUAACUCCAUGCAAAUACUGGACAGAAUCAAGCCCCUGAGUUAUUGCAGGCAAUCUCACGUGUAUCUUCUAACCUUGCUGCUGCCUAGCUGUAGGCUCUUGUUUCCUCCGCUCUUGCUCCUUGCAAACUGUCUUAAUAUCGAACGCGUUUCAGAGGGAUGGGCUGAUGAAUGAAAACAUGAAUUUCUGCUUGCCCUUUAAGGUGGGUUAAGGGGCGGGGGUGCUGGUGUAAUCAAUUACUGAACAAAAGAACAACAACAACAAAAGACUUACAACCCACAGAGUGGCUGUGUUACAUCCUGCAGUCUGUUUUAAACCAGUACUUCUUUUAUAUUUACCACUAUUAGAUUCUAGUAUGGAUCAUUUAUUUCAUCAAGAAGAGAAAAAGAAAGAGGAGGAGGAAGAAGAGGAGGAAGAAGAGGAAGGAAGGAAGGAAGGAAGGAAGGAAGGAAGGAAGGAAGGAAGAAGAAAAAAGAAACAAGAAAGAUAUAGAAAGUCUUCCAGUAGAUCCUGAAGAAAACUUAGUAUUUUUUUAACUUAAAAAGUAUUGAUAUAUUUGAGCUUCAAUUUGAUACUAACUUAGCAAGUAAAAAGUUUGAAAUCUCAUCUACAUCCAUCCUUCAGAUUUUUUAGACUGCCUCAGCAUGCUCUGGUCUCUUUUCAGGAUAUAAAGUUUGUAGUUUGCAUUCUAAUUAGCAUCCUGGUCCUAUCAGCUCCAGGUUCCCAGUGUUACUUUCCUAAAGAAAAGGACAGCAAUGCCAAAGUUCUCCACAAAUGCAGCUCCAGGUUACCGGAUAUCAACCUCUUUAGCUGCCUUCCUCAAAGAACCACGACUUCUGUUUAAAGGUGAUGUUUCCAAAUAAACCUAAUUUGACAAAAAUGUAACAAGACUCUAUCACUGAAUGUCUUGAAAUCCUCUUAGCUAUAUUUCAGAAAAUGGAAACACACAAGUUCUCUUACACAACACACCUCCCUUACAGCAAGAGUCAAGCUAAAAAGAAAACGAUGACUUCUCAGCCACUCAACUAGUAAAACUAUAUAAAUUAUUAUGCCACCCAGUUUAAAUAAAUACCGUAUCUCUUUGCUCAGUCUAUGCAGAUAUCAGUUGCAGUUUCUGGGGCUUGUUAUUGAUAGUUCAAAGAAUUCUUCUCCACAAGUUUUAGUGACAGGACUUUGACAAAGUUUUCAAACAGGAAAGUUGGUUUUAUGCUAAACAUCACAUCAUCUAAUAUAUUCUCCUUAAAAGUAGAAAACCAUUAAGUGCAUGAGAAAGCUAUGCCCUUUGCUUUUAACACAUAUGAGUUAUAAGAGAAAGUUGCUGUCCAAAAGCCAAAGUUCUGGACUUUGCAGUUUUAGAACAGUUAGAAUUUACCCCAUCCUGUAGUAUGCUGGAUAUCAACACAAGCUGACUAAUCCUUACACGUUAAAAUUAGCAACUGAAACAAACUGAGAAUUAAAAUUGAAAUGAGUCAGACUCUGCAUUGUAAGCAGAUUUGUGUUUUGUUUAUUGUGUUUCAGAGCUGUGCAAAGGGAGUAAGAUCUCAGUCUGAGUGGUCGCUGCUCAUAGAAAGCGUACACCACUCCCUGUCUCUUACCUGAUUCCUGGACAACAUGUGGAUCUGUCUUUAAUCAGAGUUAUUGAUUGCAUUCCUAAACCAGAGAAUGAAAUAUUUACUUUGCAUUGGCUAUCAAUACACCUAAUUGGGGGAAAAAACAAUAAAUAUCUUGGAUUUGAGGCUAUGCAUCUAGCUAUAGUCCAUACAGUUCACAUAACUAUAUAUAGUUAUAUAGUUGGCUACUAGCAUGCUUUUGACUGAUGGUCAAACUCAGUUUUUAAACCUGCAGAGUAUGCACAAUAUCAUUGACAUCAAAUGGCUUUAAGUCACAUGAGCUGCAUGAGUCUGAGGAAAGUCUCUUAGCACUUCUCUAAACACCUUCAUUUUCUUUCCAUUUGAAUUAAUUCAGCAACAUAAAUGUAUUUGGAAACACACUUAAAUGAUUUAAAACCAUCCUCUGCCUAAGUUUCAUCACUGCUCAAAACUAGAACUAGCAUUAUUUUGACCUGAUGUUGAGAUAUUCAUAAGGACUUUGCUAAUCAUAUGAUCCUUGAAAAGUGGCCUAUAUUAAGCAUUUUAUCACACUGCAAAAGUUAUAUGUUCAUAGUCUUUGUUCUUCCGUGACAUGGAGAACCUAGUAGCAAAUCAUUACGUGUCUUAAUUGGCAGUUUCCAGACUCAUUUUGUUUGUUUGUUUUUCCUCUUUUUACUUGUCUGUCAAAAACAUUUCAUUUGAAAAAAAGACUCAUCUAUUUAGGAAGAUGGAUAGAAAGCUAAAGGCAAUAAAAAUGUAGUAGGGGAUUUUGGACUAUGAAUUGGACAGAACUGCUAUUUAAUAGUUGAAUGCCAGUGGAGGGAUUAUGGAGAGACUGGAGUUACUACAUAUCUGUCAUAUAAGUCAAAGGACACAUUAGUCAUUCGGUAUAUAUUAGCAAUUCUGUAUCAGGAUAAAUUACUAUUAGUAGGGAUGUUUGAAAAAUCCAUACAAAAACUUAAUAUAAGUCACACACACACACACACACACACACACACACACACACACACACACACACACACAAUUAGAGUUAUCCUACCUAGUUUAUAACCUUCUUACCAAGAAGACUAAGGUUGCCAAAUAAAAAGGCCAGAGGUAGUUGUAGGAUGCCUUGUUUCAAGUUGUUAGUCAAGGGUAUUCUGGAGACCACCAAAACGAGACAGACUAUUACCAACCCUCUUGGUUGUCCACAAAAACUUAAAGGUGAUGAUCACAAACAUUUUGGUCACAGGACAUGGAGAAAUCAAGUUAGCACUGAUUAGAAAGCUUUCCCCUAUUGACUAUCUGCCAUAGUAUUAGAAAAUGUUUUCAGGCUGCUGGGGAGAAAAGUCCCAUGCAGUUUUGCCCAAAUGUGAACUAUAAUAAUGACAGAUGUUAUUCAAGAUAUGUCCAUGCACGUGUCAAAUGAGAUGGGCAGAACCAAUCACAUUCUUGCAUUUAAACCCCAUUCCACAGGAAUGAGCAGGUGCCUUGUUCUGUCAAUCUGGCUUCGAAUCUGGAUUCAGAAAGCUUAUAAACUCCAUAGUGAACCUAUAACUAGUAUUGUGCUCAAUAGUCACAGCUCCAAACUGACCUCGAAGUGAGUAUCUCUAUACCCAUAAAUCAGAGUAGAGUUAAGUCCUUAUCAGAGAAGUUUCUUUGUUCAGUGGGAAGUAGGUGAUGCAGAAACCACACCUUGUCCAAGUGCAGAAAAGAGGGGUCUGUGGAAUGCUGAGUCAUAGGUAGGGCAUCCAUAACACACCUCCUGCUUCCAAGGCUGUGGUACCAUUGUGGAAGCAGAUAAAUAGGUAAGGAAAGAUGCAGAGUCAGAGGUAGAAAAAGACCGAGAAGGUGUCUUCUAGAUAUUGCAAGGCCAUUGUCCUCAUUAACUUAGAAAUAGCUGCCCUUGUUUGAAUAAGGCUUGAAGCAGAUGAUGCCAGUCCACACUCCAGCGCGCAGGGGUUGGGAGCUCAUCAACUCUACCCCUACCUAAGGAGCUAUGGACAAACAAAUGUAUCUGCGGGAAGGAGACUCAGCCUUCUUUAAGGAUGUGGUCUUUGAUAGGUGAAGCAAGCUCCACUAAAUAGCUCCACCCCGAUGAAUGACGAAUACAACAUAAAUUGUGCAGGGCAAGUACCUGAAAUGACAGAAGAAGAUACUAGUGUAGGACAAUGGAGGUGGAUUUUAGAUGAAUUAGGGGAGGAAGAGGAUGAAUAUAACCAAAAUACAUUGCAUACAUUUAAUGAAUUCCUCAAAGAGUUUGCAUGUGUCAACAUACACACACACACACACACACACACACACACACACACACACACACACACAAUUAGGUACAAUACAUGUUUAAAAGUCUCCUUAAAGAUAAGAAAAAAUUUGAAUCAUAAGAAAAAUAUGGAUAUGAGAUUUUUCUUUAAAAGUUUAAAUAUAAAUGAUGAAAUAAGUCAAUAUAUUUAAGCUGAAGUGAUGGAAGUGUGGAUGCAUGAUGCAAUGUUUGGUGCCAUAGACUCAGCAUCCAGACAGACAGAGAUAUAUCUCAAACAGUAGUAUGUUUGUGAAACUUUUUUGAUGAACCAAUAUGGUAGUGAGAAACAGUGCUAUUAUUCUUUAAAGUCAAGUUUUAAGACAGGUUACAAAUGUUAUCAAGAAAAUCUGAAAGUUUGGUGACUCCUAAGGACUAUGAAUGUAUCAGAAUACUCUUUUGCCAAAAUGUAUUACAUCAACAGAUUCUAAGUAAUACUGUGAACCCACAUGUCUCCAUGGAGAUGUGUGUGUGUUGCAUAUAUGUGUAUGUAUAUAUGUAAAUAUACAUAGUGGAAUGAAUAUACAUAUAUAAUUACAUGAUAAUGCAUGUUAUACUUCUAGACUGAUUUCUGUUUCUCUAAUUAUUAUAUAUUGAUUUAAAGGUCUUGAGAAAGACUUAAUAAGUGGAGUCCAUUCUUGCCAUUAAAUUAAGGCUAAAUUAAAUGUAUUAUUCAAUUUUCAUUUAAGAAAGUAUGCUAUAUGAGAAUAUAUCAAACAUCGAACAGAAAAUAUGUCACAGUCAAAUUCCAUUUAUUCUUUUCUGUAGAACAUAACAUUCAAGUGAUUUUCAAAUAAAUCUCAGAAGAUAAUUUGAUUGAUGUUGUAAGAUCGUAAAGAAAAGUGAGGCACUACUUUUCCAAAUUAAGUUUCUAGAAAUAGAAUGAAAUUAGUGGCAUGGUACUUAGUCCAAAUAAAUAAACGCUUGACGUUUUAUAUUGUCCCAUUCCAGAUCUCUCUGCCGUAGUUCCAUAAUAACUUAUUAUCUCUGAAUUUCAACAGGAGCUAAUUGUUCACUCCUAUUUAACAACCACUUUACUUUUAAAGAGACUAAUGACGUGACAUUGAAAGUUGCAUGCCAUAUAAAACUUAAUAUCGACUAAGACAUAAUUGAAAGCUGGCAAGAUGGCUCAGGAGGUAAACGAGAUGCUUGUCAAGCCUGACUACCCGAGUUUAUCUCAAGGCUCACAUGGUAGAGUCAGAACUUCUCACAAGCAGUCUUCUGAGUUCUAUAUUGUUGCGCAUUUGUCUACACACACACACACACACACACACACACACACACACACACAUGCACACAGGCAAGCAUACACACCAAGUAACAACUAACUAACUAAAUUUGAAAAUGCACACUCAUAUUUUGAAGCCAUAAAGACUUCAUGGAGAUAAUAAACAAACCAACCUCUCUCUCUCUCUCUCUCUCUCUCUCUCUCUCUCUCUGUGUGUGUGUGUGUAGUGUGUGUGUCUAAUACCAUGCCCAAAACUCUAAAAUUAAUUUUAAACACAUUAUUUUCUUGAUUUAAAAAAGUGUAUAAAAUUCAGUGUUUAGAAUUAUUUUGCAUGUAAUUAUUCUCAACUAUCAAGCAUGGGGUUCUUUUCUGAGAUAUAAACAUGAAUGCAGUUGCAGGAGAAUUCUAUAGUAGAAUGUUUCUUAUUCUGGUUUACUUAAUCUGGACAUACUUCCUCCUAACAGAGUUCCAAGGCUUUGACCUUGAGAACCUGGUCAGAGCAGUGUUUCAAAUAAAAGCUCUUUGUCACCAAGACUGAUGACGCUAGUUUGAAUCCCUGGACUCACCACGUGGGAAGAGAGAAUAGACAACCUUAGGUUGUUCUCAGGCCUCCAAAGAGGUUCUGUGGAAUGUGUUUAUUUAGAAUAAACAAACAAAUGUGUUAAAUACUAAAAGUUCCUUAAGAAAAUAUGAAUACAUGAAAAUCAGCUCAUGACAGGCUCAAGUACAAAGUCCACACAGUUUUAGUUGAUUAUUGGCAAAGUAAAUUCUGUUCUGGCUCAUUCUUGUGCAAGUCAAAAUCAAUUUUAGUGAUAAAAAGAACCUUUGGUCACAAUUAAAGCAGGAAUUGUACACCAUAGAGGAGUAUGGUUGAGAGAGAAUCGUGAGAAAGUUGUCUUUGUGAAAUAUAAAACUUGCUAAAAUAUAGAUAAUAAUUGAGAUGGAUGAUAUAUAUAUAUAUAUAUAUAUAGAUAGAUAGAUAGAUAGAUAGAUAGAUAGAUAGGUAGAUAGACAUUAUAGUAGAGGUUAAGUAUAACACAAUACCAUGUAUAGCUGAAGUAUAAUGUAAAUAUUAUAACUGAUUCAAGUAGAAUUUGAGUAAUAAACGUAUUAAAUAGUUUUAGGUUAUAUAGAUCACAGCCUACUACCUUUUCACACAAAAAAAGGUAUUUCUCAAAAAAAUCUUAAAUUUCACUGAUUUCACUGUUGUAAUCUGUAACUCAAAUAUAACCGGGAUAUUGUUACCGUGUGUGAUUCAGACUAUAACUUCCCCUAGUCAGAUGCGGGCUUCCUCUAACAGCAUUUCAUGAAAAAACUCAAAUUCAAACAGGGUUGUGGCUUUCUUUGCUCUCCUCCUUUGCUUUCUGUUUAUGCAUGAGCAGUAGAGUGCACUUACGUCCUUGCCUUCUUCCUUCCUCCUUCCGUGUUCUGUAAUGUACUUCUGUCAGUGUGUGGAUGUCUGUUUGAUGCACAGACCAUUGCCACCUCACCAGCUAAA
Mus musculus (house mouse) is the source of this 18249-nucleotide long non-coding RNA. RefSeq annotates it as RIKEN cDNA 9430053O09 gene. Lineage: Eukaryota; Metazoa; Chordata; Mammalia; Rodentia; Muridae. The transcript is spliced from 3 exons. The record is from RefSeq and is a predicted model, not a curated record.